UASGGCUCAGWAACACGUGGAUAACCUACCCUUAGGACUGGGAUAACUCUGGAAAACUGGGGCUAAUACCGGAUAGAUGAUUUUUCUUGAAWUGGGAUUUUGUUUAAAUGUUUUUUCGCCUAAGGAUGGGUCUGCGGCAGAUUAGGUAGUUGGUUAGGUAAUGGCUUACCAAGCCUAUGAUCUGUACGGGUUGUGAGAGCAAGAGCCCGGAGAUGGAACCUGAGACAAGGUUCCAGSCCCUACGGGGUGCAGCAGGCGCGAAACCUCCACAAUGUACGAGAGUGCGAUGGGGGGAUCCCAAGUGCUAUUCUUAACGGGAUAGCUUUUMUUAAGUGUAAAAAGCUUUUGGAAUAAGAGCUGGGCAAGACCGGUGCCAGCCGCCGCGGUAACACCGGCAGCUCUAGUGGUAACAAUUUUUAUUGGGCCUAAAGCGUCCGUAGCCGGUUUAAUAAGUCUCUGGUGAAAUCCUGUAGCUUAACUGUGGGAAUUGCUGGAGAUACUAUUAGACUUGAGACCGGGAGAGGUUAGAGGUACUCCCAGGGUAGAGGUGAAAUUCUGUAAUCCUGGGAGGACCGCCUGUUGCGAAGGCGUCUAACUGGAACGGUUCUGACGGUGAGGGACGAAAGUUAGGGGCGCGAACCGGAUUAGAUACCCGGGUAGUCCUAACUGUAAACGAUGCGGACUUGUUUUGGGGUGGCUUUGAGCUGCUCCAGUGCCGAAGGGAAGCUGUUAAGUCCGCCGCCCKGGAAG
This 750-nucleotide ribosomal RNA is filed under the name uncultured Methanobacteriaceae archaeon. Its description in RNAcentral is "bacterial SSU rRNA". It matches the Rfam family "Archaeal small subunit ribosomal RNA", at positions 84 to 835 of the family's 1478-position model. Lineage: Archaea; Methanobacteriati; Methanobacteriota; Methanobacteria; Methanobacteriales; Methanobacteriaceae. The record is from RNAcentral.